UGAACGCUGGCGGCGUGGAUAAGGCAUGCAAGUCGAAUGGGUUUAGACCCAUGGCAGACGAGGUAGUAACACGUAGGUACGUACCCCAAAGUCAAGCAUAACCAGUCGAAAGAUUGGAUAAUUCUUGAUAGUCCCGCAAGGGUAAAGAUUUAUCGCUUUGGGAGCGGCCUGCGUAGUAUCAGCUUGUUGGUAAGGUAAUGGCUUACCAAGGCUAUGACGCUUAGGGGAGGUGAGAGCCUGACCCCCACCGAUGGAACUGCGACACGGUCCAUACUCC
Molecule: ribosomal RNA, 277 nt
Filed under: unidentified marine bacterioplankton
Lineage: Bacteria
Description: partial 16S ribosomal RNA
Rfam family: Bacterial small subunit ribosomal RNA
Source: RNAcentral